GCUUAAAGCACGCUUUAUUUAUGGCCGUGCCUACCCCCAAGCCUCGGGGUUGUUUUGAGCCAGCAGGGAAGGUGUACUUAAUAUAGAGCAGGAGGGUAUGUGUGCAAUGUUCUUUGAAUGAUGAUUGCAAGGUGCACAGAGAAGAUUUGACUUUAUUUAGACAUUCGGUUUCUUCACAGUCUCCUCUCUGGAAGGGCUCUUGGCUUCCUCUCCAGACAGCAUGUGUGUGCUCCCCAACACUGAGAUCUGACGUGCCCCCAGAUUCCCUGGGCUCAGAAAACAGGACACGCCGAGGACAUAGAAGCCUGGCACCAGGCGCAGAGCUUCCGCCACCAAGGAUGUUCCAGCAGAGACCACACAGCCGCGUGGCCUGGACUCGAAGCCAUCGAAGUUUUGAAUCUCUAAGUCCUUAUUUCUUGCCAGCCCAACUAUUAAUAAAUCAAAAGCUCC
This 450-nucleotide long non-coding RNA is filed under the name Homo sapiens (human). RNAcentral describes it as "HSALNT0158202". The record is from RNAcentral. Lineage: Eukaryota; Metazoa; Chordata; Mammalia; Primates; Hominidae.